UACAUCUGAUUGUCCAUUUGGCAUGUGUGUGUCUAAAUUGUUGCUGUUACCUUGCCAGGUUGGGCUCGGGUGUUGUGCCCUUUUUCACUGCUGCUGCUACAGGGUAGCUCUAGUCUCCAUGUCUCUCCAGUCACGGUGACCGGAUGAUCCAGUGAGUGACUGUCAUCUGGAUGGGCUGCUGUUUGUGGUUGAGUUUCGGACCAAUUAUGUGUGGAUGAUGUGUGAAUGAGUGAUUACACCUGAUAUUGAGUGUGGUUCAUGAACGUUUGAGUGCCCCGGUAACGCCAGUGUUCUGGUUAGCGGUGUGAGUGUAUGAUAAUUGCUUUCUGUUUUAUUUCUAUUGUUUCUUUUCUUUUAAGUGUCUUUGCUGUGCACACGGUAGCCUGAUCCGCCAUUAAGUAACCCCAGGACCUCCUAGCUUUCGUUGCUCAAUGUGUGCUGUGCUUCAUAGUAGCCUAGGCCUUUUCAAGUUGAAUACAAGUGUGAUACUCUCCCUGCAUGCUUAUUUUUUCACUAGAAGUGUUUGCUGUGUGCAACUGUCUUGCCGUGCUUAGCUAGAACAGAAGCUAGAGGGUUGGGAUAGGCAUUUACUGGCUCAGGUGUAUUUGUGUUGGCCUCAUGUGAUUUUGUAUAUAUAUUAAAGAUUUAGUAAGAACCAUUUUGUAUUAUUAAAAGAAAAGCACAUGUCUCCCCU
Molecule: long non-coding RNA, 694 nt
Organism: Engraulis encrasicolus (European anchovy)
Lineage: Eukaryota; Metazoa; Chordata; Actinopteri; Clupeiformes; Engraulidae
Exons: 2
Source: RefSeq, a predicted model, not a curated record